GUAGCGAAGUCAUUUGUUCUUUUAUUGAGAACUUGUAUGAGUGGAGUUAUGGAGGUUUUUUUAUAAACGGUUUUUUGGCUGAAUUUGAUUUAUCUACGAAAAGUUAGAUUUGUUUUCAAAGACGAGAAGACCCCGAAAUCUUUAUUUUAAAAAAAUGGGUUUUAAUUUUUGUUUGGGGGAAAAGUUAAUUUGUAUUAUUUUCUUUUUUAGUGUGAACUUUGUUAGGUUAAAUGGAUAGAUACUUCGGGGUUAACAGGAUAAUUUUCUUUUGAAGUUCUUAUUUUAGAGGGAGAUUGUUACCUCGAUGUUGGCUUUUGAA
Molecule: ribosomal RNA, 319 nt
Filed under: Demodex canis (dog follicle mite)
Lineage: Eukaryota; Metazoa; Arthropoda; Arachnida; Trombidiformes; Demodicidae
Description: partial 16S ribosomal RNA
Source: RNAcentral